GACGAACGCUGGCGGCGCGCUUAACACAUGCAAGUCGAACGGAAAGGCCUGCUUUCCCUUGUGGAUUGCGGGUACUCGAGUGGCGAACGGGUGAGUAACACGUGAGUGAUCUGCCCCCAACUUGGGUAUAAGCCUGGGAAACUGGGUCUAAUUCCCGAUAGGACUGCAGGGUGGUGCCUGUGGUGGAAAACGAUUUUCUAGUGGUUGGGGAUGAGCUCGCGGCCUAUCAGCUUGUUGGUGGGGUAAUGGCCUACCAAGGCGGCGACGGGUAGCCGGCCGGAGAGGGUGGACGGCCCCAUUGGGACUGAGAUACGGCCCAGACUCCUACGGGAGGCAGCAGUGGGGAAUAUUGCACAAUGGGCGGAAGCCUGAUGCAGCGACGCCGCGUGGGGGAUGACGGCCUUCGGGUUGUAAACUCCUUUCGACCGCGAGGAAGCCACCUGGUUGGAAGGGUGGUGACGGUAGUGGUAGAAGAAGCACCGGCUAACUACGUG
This 494-nucleotide ribosomal RNA is filed under the name uncultured bacterium. RNAcentral's name for it is "partial 16S ribosomal RNA". It matches the Rfam family "Bacterial small subunit ribosomal RNA", at positions 28 to 507 of the family's 1533-position model. The record is from RNAcentral.